GGGUUGUGAGGUUAAGCGACUAAGCGUACACGGUGGAUGCCCUGGCAGUCAGAGGCGAUGAAGGACGUGCUAAUCUGCGAUAAGCGUCGGUAAGGUGAUAUGAACCGUUAUAACCGGCGAUUUCCGAAUGGGGAAACCCAGUGUGUUUCGACACACUAUCAUUAACUGAAUCCAUAGGUUAAUGAGGCGAACCGGGGGAACUGAAACAUCUAAGUACCCCGAGGAAAAGAAAUCAACCGAGAUUCCCCCAGUAGCGGCGAGCGAACGGGGAGGAGCCCAGAGCCUGAAUCAGUGUGUGUGUUAGUGGAAGCGUCUGGAAAGGCGCGCGAUACAGGGUGACAGCCCCGUACACAAAAAUGCACAUACUGUGAGCUCGAUGAGUAGGGCGGGACACGUGGUAUCCUGUCUGAAUAUGGGGGGACCAUCCUCCAAGGCUAAAUACUCCUGACUGACCGAUAGUGAACCAGUACCGUGAGGGAAAGGCGAAAAGAACCCCGGCGAGGGGAGUGAAAAAGAACCUGAAACCGUGUACGUACAAGCAGUGGGAGCCUCUUUAUGGGGUGACUGCGUACCUUUUGUAUAAUGGGUCAGCGACUUAUAUUCUGUAGCAAGGUUAACCGAAUAGGGGAGCCGAAGGGAAACCGAGUCUUAACUGGGCGUUAAGUUGCAGGGUAUAGACCCGAAACCCGGUGAUCUAGCCAUGGGCAGGUUGAAGGUUGGGUAACACUAACUGGAGGACCGAACCGACUAAUGUUGAAAAAUUAGCGGAUGACUUGUGGCUGGGGGUGAAAGGCCAAUCAAACCGGGAGAUAGCUGGUUCUCCCCGAAAGCUAUUUAGGUAGCGCCUCGUGAAUUCAUCUCCGGGGGUAGAGCACUGUUUCGGCAAGGGGGUCAUCCCGACUUACCAACCCGAUGCAAACUGCGAAUACCGGAGAAUGUUAUCACGGGAGACACACGGCGGGUGCUAACGUCCGUCGUGAAGAGGGAAACAACCCAGACCGCCAGCUAAGGUCCCAAAGUCAUGGUUAAGUGGGAAACGAUGUGGGAAGGCCCAGACAGCCAGGAUGUUGGCUUAGAAGCAGCCAUCAUUUAAAGAAAGCGUAAUAGCUCACUGGUCGAGUCGGCCUGCGCGGAAGAUGUAACGGGGCUAAACCAUGCACCGAAGCUGCGGCAGCGACGCUUAUGCGUUGUUGGGUAGGGGAGCGUUCUGUAAGCCUGCGAAGGUGUGCUGUGAGGCAUGCUGGAGGUAUCAGAAGUGCGAAUGCUGACAUAAGUAACGAUAAAGCGGGUGAAAAGCCCGCUCGCCGGAAGACCAAGGGUUCCUGUCCAACGUUAAUCGGGGCAGGGUGAGUCGACCCCUAAGGCGAGGCCGAAAGGCGUAGUCGAUGGGAAACAGGUUAAUAUUCCUGUACUUGGUGUUACUGCGAAGGGGGGACGGAGAAGGCUAUGUUGGCCGGGCGACGGUUGUCCCGGUUUAAGCGUGUAGGCUGGUUUUCCAGGCAAAUCCGGAAAAUCAAGGCUGAGGCGUGAUGACGAGGCACUACGGUGCUGAAGCAACAAAUGCCCUGCUUCCAGGAAAAGCCUCUAAGCAUCAGGUAACAUCAAAUCGUACCCCAAACCGACACAGGUGGUCAGGUAGAGAAUACCAAGGCGCUUGAGAGAACUCGGGUGAAGGAACUAGGCAAAAUGGUGCCGUAACUUCGGGAGAAGGCACGCUGAUAUGUAGGUGAAGCGACUUGCUCGUGGAGCUGAAAUCAGUCGAAGAUACCAGCUGGCUGCAACUGUUUAUUAAAAACACAGCACUGUGCAAACACGAAAGUGGACGUAUACGGUGUGACGCCUGCCCGGUGCCGGAAGGUUAAUUGAUGGGGUUAGCGGUAACGCGAAGCUCUUGAUCGAAGCCCCGGUAAACGGCGGCCGUAACUAUAACGGUCCUAAGGUAGCGAAAUUCCUUGUCGGGUAAGUUCCGACCUGCACGAAUGGCGUAAUGAUGGCCAGGCUGUCUCCACCCGAGACUCAGUGAAAUUGAACUCGCUGUGAAGAUGCAGUGUACCCGCGGCAAGACGGAAAGACCCCGUGAACCUUUACUAUAGCUUGACACUGAACAUUGAGCCUUGAUGUGUAGGAUAGGUGGGAGGCUUUGAAGUGUGGACGCCAGUCUGCAUGGAGCCGGCCUUGAAAUACCACCCUUUAAUGUUUGAUGUUCUAACGUUGGCCCCUGAUCGGGGUUGCGGACAGUGUCUGGUGGGUAGUUUGACUGGGGCGGUCUCCUCCUAAAGAGUAACGGAGGAGCACGAAGGUUGGCUAAUCCUGGUCGGACAUCAGGAGGUUAGUGCAAUGGCAUAAGCCAGCUUGACUGCGAGCGUGACGGCGCGAGCAGGUGCGAAAGCAGGUCAUAGUGAUCCGGUGGUUCUGAAUGGAAGGGCCAUCGCUCAACGGAUAAAAGGUACUCCGGGGAUAACAGGCUGAUACCGCCCAAGAGUUCAUAUCGACGGCGGUGUUUGGCACCUCGAUGUCGGCUCAUCACAUCCUGGGGCUGAAGUAGGUCCCAAGGGUAUGGCUGUUCGCCAUUUAAAGUGGUACGCGAGCUGGGUUUAGAACGUCGUGAGACAGUUCGGUCCCUAUCUGCCGUGGGCGCUGGAGAACUGAGGGGGGCUGCUCCUAGUACGAGAGGACCGGAGUGGACGCAUCACUGGUGUUCGGGUUGUCAUGCCAAUGGCACUGCCCGGUAGCUAAAUGCGGAAGAGAUAAGUGCUGAAAGCAUCUAAGCACGAAACUUGCCCCGAGAUGAGUUCUCCCUGAGACUUUAAGUCUCCUGAAGGAACGUUGAAGACGACGACGUUGAUAGGCCGGGUGUGUAAGCGCAGCGAUGCGUUGAGCUAACCGGUACUAAUGAACCGUGAGGCUUAACCUUACAACGCCGAAGGUGUUU
This 2932-nucleotide ribosomal RNA is filed under the name Escherichia coli. RNAcentral describes it as "23S ribosomal RNA". It matches the Rfam family "Bacterial large subunit ribosomal RNA". Lineage: Bacteria; Pseudomonadati; Pseudomonadota; Gammaproteobacteria; Enterobacterales; Enterobacteriaceae. The record is from RNAcentral.